CGUCCACCCACGCCUUACCGAUGGAGACAGGAGGCCCUGUGUGGGGCAGGGAGCUCGCACAGAGCAGGAAUUCGGGCCCUGAAUCCUAGGGGGGGCUCUGCCAAUGCCCGGGCCCGGGAGGCACGCCUCACGUGUGUCCGAACCCAAAGUAAUCUGGUCCUGCUGCCAUCUUAUGACCUAGUGGCUGCACGGGGAUGGCUGGAUGUGGAGCAUCGCUCAGCCCUGCCCCCUAGGUUCCUUCGGUUCCUGCUUUUCCAAUCAAAACAUCUCAAGUCAAUAAUCUUCCUUGGCAACGUUCUCGAACAGACAUGAAACGUUCUGCUGAGCGGCCCCGUCUUCGUUUGCGCUACCCCUGUCCUCUGGCGGGACAUCGAGGUGAUUUCCAGUUUCUCUCUGCCAUAAAAAAGGCCGUGACGAACAUCCUCAGCACCCCAAGCUUGGGUCACAUCUCCAAAGAUGCCUGCAGGAGGCGUUCCCAGAAGUGGGGGGUGAGCGGGCCAAAGGUUGUGAACCUCCUUUAAGCAACAAAAACAUCCUGCUAAGUGUCCUUCAGAAAAAUGGCACUGAGUCCUGCCAGCAGUAGAGGAAAUUCUUCAUCUCGCUUCCCCCUCCCCCACUCCCCCCCCCCAGCAUCGGGUGUCCCACAAAGCCAGGGGCUUUGUGCACCUGCGCUUACUGGCUGUCGUGGACCGGCUCUGGGCACCCGCUGGGGGACGUGGCCGCACAUCACACUGUUUAGGCAGCUGCUAUGAGGUGCCAGUGCCUCUAGGGUCCACACAAGUCAGGGAAGAUCUAUGUCGUUUUCUUUGAUUUCAAAUGAAGUGGCUUCUAAACACCGCUUAAAAAUACGUUAAUAAUGGUGGCGACGUAUCACCCAUCUUGAAGAAGUGACAGGCGUUUCCCUCAGCAAAAUGUUAAGUGGGAGAGUGGGUUAGGGCGUUAGGAGAUUGAUUCGUUUCUGCCAAAGGGCUCAUUACCUCUUGUCUAGACGACCUCCUGACUGGUCCCCUGCCUCCAGCUCCCGCAGCCCACCCCCCGCCUCCGGCCCAAUCCCUCCCCCACACUGAGGUCUAGUUAACCUUGUUGACGUGGUUCGGGAAAGUGGGAUGUGUGAGGGGCUUGGAGUCAGGUGCCCGGGGUUCUGGUCCGUGUUCUGUCACUGAGUUCCUGGGUGUGGUGGGUCCACAUCUACCUCUGUGUCCCCCUUUUCUUGGAUCGGCACUCCGGGUUUCCUUUGAGGUCCCACUCUGCCCUUUCUCAGUCUUGGGAUGUCAUGGCAGGCUGACACUGCUCCCCACCACCCCCCCCCCCCCAUUCAGAGGUAAGCAUAUUAUACCUAGGCUUGGCCAUUGAGAGUUCUGCAGACCCCCGGCCCAAUGAUCAAGGGGCAGCGUGUGUCUGAGGCUGAGCCAGCCAUUUUCUGAGGGCUGGAUCCAACUGUACCUGAAGCUCACUCUCAACAUCCUGGUUAUGUGAGCCAAAUCUCCACUCCUCCUCCUCCUCCUCCUCCUCCUCCUCCUCCAAAUCCAUCUGAAUUGGGUGCUUGUUACUUGUAAACAAAAGAGCUGAGACUGGUACACAGCGUGACCUUGGGCAAGUCCUUUUUUCUGUGGUGGUCUCAGUUGUUCCAUCUGGGAAAUGAAAGAGUUGGGAUUCUUUGAGGUUCUUCUAGCCUGGGAAGUUCAAGUUCCCCAUCUGGGUUGGGAGGGUCACAGGUGGAAGGGCUGGCCCGUCCGGAGACUCCAUUGCUGUGCAACAUCGCCAGGAGCAACCUCAGUGGGCACAGUUCUCCCCAGACCUCCAAAGGGCUGCCCCGGGGCAAAGGCAGUGGUAGAGUAGCCUCCCCUGGGGGAAGAUCCGGGGGCACCCUGGCGUUUCCUGGAACAUCGUGACCAGCAUUGAGAGGUGCUGCCCCUGCUCUGUGUCUCUCAAUGGCUCCCAAGUACCUUCAGGAUUAAGUCCUACCUACCCCCUUCAAUGGGCAGAAGGCCAGGCUCCGCACAGGGCUUAAUAAAUAUUAAAUGAACAAUCGAAUGAGCAAA
Leopardus geoffroyi (Geoffroy's cat) is the source of this 2042-nucleotide long non-coding RNA. RefSeq lists it as uncharacterized. NCBI's taxonomy places the organism in Eukaryota, Metazoa, Chordata, Mammalia, Carnivora, Felidae. The record is from RefSeq and is a predicted model, not a curated record. The transcript is spliced from 3 exons.